RNAcentral lists this ribosomal RNA (467 nucleotides) under uncultured bacterium. Its description in RNAcentral is "partial 16S ribosomal RNA". It matches the Rfam family "Bacterial small subunit ribosomal RNA", at positions 28 to 506 of the family's 1533-position model. The record is from RNAcentral.
GACGAACGCUGGCGGCGUGCUUAACACAUGCAAGUCGAACGGAAAGGCCCUGCUUUUGUGGGGUGCUCGAGUGGCGAACGGGUGAGUAACACGUGAGUAACCUGCCCUUGACUUUGGGAUAACUUCAGGAAACUGGGGCUAAUACCGGAUAGGAGCUCCUGCUGCAUGGUGGGGGUUGGAAAGUUUCGGCGGUUGGGGAUGGACUCGCGGCUUAUCAGCUUGUUGGUGGGGUAGUGGCUUACCAAGGCUUUGACGGGUAGCCGGCCUGAGAGGGUGACCGGCCACAGUGGGACUGAGAAACGGCCCAGAGUCCUACGGGAGGAAGGAGUGGAGAAUAUUGCACAAUGGGCGGAAGGAGGAUGGAGCAACGCCGCGUGCGGGAUGACGGCCUUCGGGGUGUAAACCGCUUUCGCCUGUGACGAAGCGUGAGUGACGGUAAUGGGUAAGAAAGCACCGGCUAACUACGU